This 430-nucleotide ribosomal RNA is filed under the name Bacillota bacterium. Its description in RNAcentral is "Firmicutes bacterium partial 16S ribosomal RNA". It matches the Rfam family "Bacterial small subunit ribosomal RNA", at positions 355 to 776 of the family's 1533-position model. The record is from RNAcentral. Lineage: Bacteria; Bacillati; Bacillota.
UGGGGAAUAUUGGACAAUGGGCGGAAGCCUGAUCCAGCCAUGUCGCGUGUGUGAAGAAGGCCUUUUGGUUGUAAAGCACUUUAAGCGAGGAGGAGGCUACUUGGAUUAAUACUCUAGGAUAGUGGACGUUACUCGCAGAAUAAGCACCGGCUAACUCUGUGCCAGCAGCCGCGGUAAUACAGAGGGUGCGAGCGUUAAUCGGAUUUACUGGGCGUAAAGCGUGCGUAGGCGGCUUCUUAAGUCGGAUGUGAAAUCCCUGAGCUUAACUUAGGAAUUGCAUUCGAUACUGGGAAGCUAGAGUAUGGGAGAGGAUGGUAGAAUUCCAGGUGUAGCGGUGAAAUGCGUAGAGAUCUGGAGGAAUACCGAUGGCGAAGGCAGCCAUCUGGCCUAAUACUGACGCUGAGGUACGAAAGCAUGGGGAGCAAACAGG